UGUCGUAUAAGGCGCACGAUCGUUGCAUCCGGCGACGACGGAGCGCAAUCUCUUGCACACUCGCGAGAUGCACGCAAGUUACUUCUUCUCGUCCUGCGGUGAGCAGAAACAUGUUGGAAGAAAACGUUCGAAGACUUGGAGGUGUUUUGCUGCGAAGAAAAGAACUAUCGACGAACGGAGCAAACGUUGAAACGAGAGUCAUGGGAAUCGAUAUUGUUGCUGCAACUGAACAAGAACACGGCUUCGUGUUUUUAUGAAGAAACAAGCAAUCGAGGUCAUGAUUAACACUUCGUCGGCUUCGAGCCUGUUGUCCACGAACUGCAUUCGAAGUUUUAAAGCGGAAAUCGAAGACGCACGGAAUUCAGAGAAACGACGAAACAGUUAUCUCUAGAAGAAAAUUAUGGAUUACUAAACGGUCGUCAUUGGCGCCCGGAGGAAAUCCCGGACUUCCCUUAAAAUGUUCAAGAAGCUCACUGGAUCGUAUCGAAGACGAGGGAAGGAAACAACGAGAAGGAAAAGGAUAAGAGAAGAAGGAGAGAGAGCGUCGCUACAGGCGUCGGGAUGAAGGUCACACAUCUGAAAAACACCACGCGUCCCGGGAAUGGAAUUCUAAUCUUUGAUAACAGUUUUCCGCGUUUGAAGCAAUGCGUGCCCAAAGCCCCUUAUCAUUGUCCUGUCCGGUGUUGGAUUGUUAGACGACUGGACGGAGAACUGAUAAGGGCCCGAGGGUCACAGAAUCAUCGUGGGAUUGGAUGUGUGUUGCAUAUUUUCGUCCGCUUAAAACGCCGGAAACAACGUGGAAAAAGCUACGUCGGCGUUUGUUCCGCAACGUGAAUCUAUGCGAUAAAGUUGUGAUAAUAAGACAUAACGAGAUUUGUUUUUACAUUCAAAACCUUUACGUUCGGUAAUGUAACAAUAUGUGAAGAUCAUCAUGUGUAAUAAUUAAUAAUAACAAUAAAAGGUCUCUUAUCGAACAAUAUAGGAACUUAAGACACACAGACCGUAAAUAAUUUUUCAAAUUUUGUAUUUUAACGUAUUUGUUAGCUGAUUUUCUCUGAGGAAUGGGGCUCUUUGUAUAUAUUUAGCUGUCUUUACUGUUUGUACAGCGUUCGAUCUCCGACUCUCAUCGUGUGAGUAUGUUGUUUUGUCUGUGUGUGUGUGAUAAAAGUGAUAACUUACAAAGCAACAACAUUUCAGGACAUAAUACAUACCAACUUCAAAAUAUACUUUCAUGUAAGAACUUACACCGAAUUGUGACAACCAUGACUUAAUUAAUUUAUACUGAAGAAGACUCAAGUAGAAUCGAAACGUUUAUUAAUUUAUUAAUUUGUUACCACGACAAUUAUUGUCACGGAGUUAUAUAUAUUGUUUGAAUAAAACAAGUUCCUGUAUUGCUCGAUAAGAGACCUUUUAUUGUUAUUAUUAGUUAUUAUUUAUAUCACGAGCGUUCUUUAUUCUUUAUUUUAUA
This is a long non-coding RNA of Pseudomyrmex gracilis, 1468 nucleotides long. RefSeq lists it as uncharacterized. The record is from RefSeq and is a predicted model, not a curated record. The transcript has 5 exons. NCBI's taxonomy places the organism in Eukaryota, Metazoa, Arthropoda, Insecta, Hymenoptera, Formicidae.